RNAcentral lists this ribosomal RNA (358 nucleotides) under Mammaliicoccus vitulinus. RNAcentral's name for it is "bacterial SSU rRNA". It matches the Rfam family "Bacterial small subunit ribosomal RNA", at positions 23 to 369 of the family's 1533-position model. Lineage: Bacteria; Bacillati; Bacillota; Bacilli; Caryophanales; Staphylococcaceae. The record is from RNAcentral.
CUCAGGAUGAACGCUGGCGGCGUGCCUAAUACAUGCAAGUCGAGCGAACAGAUGAGAAGCUUGCUUCUCUGAUGUUAGCGGCGGACGGGUGAGUAACACGUGGGUAACCUACCUAUAAGACUGGGAUAACUCCGGGAAACCGGGGCUAAUACCUGAUAAUAUUUUGAACCGCAUGGUUCAAUAGUGAAAGACGGCUUCGGCUGUCACUUAUAGAUGGACCCGCGCCGUAUUAGCUAGUUGGUAAGGUAAUGGCUUACCAAGGCAACGAUACGUAGCCGACCUGAGAGGGUGAUCGGCCACACUGGAACUGAGACACGGUCCAGACUCCUACGGGAGGCAGCAGUAGGGAAUCUUCCGC